Molecule: ribosomal RNA, 253 nt
Filed under: uncultured bacterium
Lineage: Bacteria
Description: partial 16S ribosomal RNA
Rfam family: Bacterial small subunit ribosomal RNA
Source: RNAcentral
UACGAAGGGGGCUAGCGUUGUUCGGAAUUACUGGGCGUAAAGCGCGCGCAGGCGGUUUCUCAAGUCAGUGGUGAAAGCCCGGAGCUCAACUCCGGAACUGCCAUUGAAACUGUGAGACUUGAGGACGAGAGAGGUGAGUGGAAUUCCCAGUGUAGAGGUGAAAUUCGUAGAUAUUGGGAAGAACACCGGUGGCGAAGGCGGCUCACUGGCUCGUUUCUGACGCUCAGGCGCGACAGCGUGGGGAGCAAACAGG